GGGGUUGUAGCUCAGUGGUAGAGCACUUGUCUAGCACAUGUGGGACCUGGGUUCAAUCCUCAGCACCA
RNAcentral lists this transfer RNA (68 nucleotides) under Urocitellus parryii (Arctic ground squirrel). RNAcentral describes it as "Spermophilus parryii (Arctic ground squirrel) tRNA". It matches the Rfam family "tRNA". From Rfam's summary of the family: Transfer RNA (tRNA) molecules are approximately 80 nucleotides in length. Their secondary structure includes four short double-helical elements and three loops (D, anti-codon, and T loops). RNAcentral also lists the same sequence under 1 other name. Lineage: Eukaryota; Metazoa; Chordata; Mammalia; Rodentia; Sciuridae. The record is from Rfam by way of RNAcentral.